This 429-nucleotide ribosomal RNA is filed under the name uncultured bacterium. Its description in RNAcentral is "bacterial SSU rRNA". It matches the Rfam family "Bacterial small subunit ribosomal RNA", at positions 355 to 776 of the family's 1533-position model. The record is from RNAcentral.
UGGGGAAUUUUGGACAAUGGGCGCAAGCCUGAUCCAGCAAUGCCGCGUGUGUGAUGAAGGCCUUCGGGUUGUAAAGCACUUUUGGUGGGAACGAAACGGUCCGGGCUAAUACCCUGGACUAAUGACGGUACCCGCAGAAUAAGCACCGGCUAACUACGUGCCAGCAGCCGCGGUAAUACGUAGGGUGCAAGCGUUAAUCGGAAUUACUGGGCGUAAAGCGUGCGCAGGCGGUUUUGUAAGACCGAUGUGAAAUCCCCGGGCUUAACCUGGGAACUGCAUUGGUGACUGCAAGGCUUGAGUGUGUCAGAGGGAGGUGGAAUUCCGCGUGUAGCAGUGAAAUGCGUAGAUAUGCGGAGGAACACCGAUGGCGAAGGCAGCCUCCUGGGAUAACACUGACGCUCAUGCACGAAAGCGUGGGGAGCAAACAGG